GCAGCAGUUUAACUCACAUACUUAACAGGCACGGAACCGUCCAUUUGGCUGCAGAGGUACACAACUGUGGUGUUUUAGGAAAAACACCCCUUUGCCUCUCAGUAAUUUUGUGCUUCAAAUUUCAAAUUCAAAUUCAGGGAUCAGGACCCCUGGUGCAGAUAGCUUUCAGCUAUUUUUUCAGCUAGUUGACCAAAUGUGAGAUAGGCAGGCAGGCAGGUGCUUGAAAUGUUUGGCAAAGUGGAUAAUUGAGUGGGCCUCUUUAAACUCUGUGAAACAGCUGUCUUAAAUGUUAAGCUAUUUUGUAGGAUAGCCUGGGUAUGCAGACAGAAGGGGAAAGGGAGGACAUAAGCAAAGGCCAAGAUUGAAUUCUUCAGUCCUGGAGCACCCCAGGAGUACUUUGUCUCCUGCAUAGAGAUGUUCAACUCUAUAGGGAAUCCUGGUGUGUAAGCAGAGCAAGCCUGUCACAAGUCUUCAUUCUCCUGGUUAUCAGAUGCCCUGAGCCCAACUACAGGUGCUCCAUUACCAAGAGAAAUGCUCUUUAUUUCUGGAUAACCCUGGCAUUUUUGUUACAAACACUUCCCUUUUCGGAGAAGGCUAAGUAUAUCACUUUUUAUUUGUAUUUUUUCCAGGCUACUUAA
RNAcentral lists this long non-coding RNA (638 nucleotides) under Anser brachyrhynchus (Pink-footed goose). RNAcentral describes it as "lncRNA (ENSABRG00000006686.1)". Lineage: Eukaryota; Metazoa; Chordata; Aves; Anseriformes; Anatidae. The record is from RNAcentral.